This 64-nucleotide transfer RNA is filed under the name Dipodomys ordii (Ord's kangaroo rat). It matches the Rfam family "tRNA". From Rfam's summary of the family: Transfer RNA (tRNA) molecules are approximately 80 nucleotides in length. Lineage: Eukaryota; Metazoa; Chordata; Mammalia; Rodentia; Heteromyidae. The record is from Rfam by way of RNAcentral.
GGUGGCUUAGUGGUAGAGUGCUUGCCUUUAAUGCAUGAAACCUGGGUUCAAUUCCUCAGUACCA